Molecule: ribosomal RNA, 253 nt
Filed under: uncultured bacterium
Lineage: Bacteria
Description: partial 16S ribosomal RNA
Rfam family: Bacterial small subunit ribosomal RNA
Source: RNAcentral
UACGGGGGGGGCAAGCGUUGUUCGGAAUUACUGGGCGUAAAGGGUUCGUAGGUGGCUUGUUAAGUCAGACGUGAAAUCCCUCGGCUCAACCGGGGAACUGCGUCUGAGACUGGAAGGCUUGAAUUCGGGAGAGGGAUGUGGAAUUCCAGGUGUAGCGGUGAAAUGCGCAGAUAUCAGGAGGAACACCAAUUGCGAAGGCAGCUCGCUGGGACGUUACUGACGCUGAGACGCGAAAGCGUGGGGAGCAAACAGG